This 2441-nucleotide ribosomal RNA is filed under the name Salmonella enterica subsp. enterica serovar Haifa. RNAcentral describes it as "partial 23S ribosomal RNA". It matches the Rfam family "Bacterial large subunit ribosomal RNA", at positions 1 to 2236 of the family's 2925-position model. Lineage: Bacteria; Pseudomonadati; Pseudomonadota; Gammaproteobacteria; Enterobacterales; Enterobacteriaceae. The record is from RNAcentral.
GGGUUGUGAGGUUAAGCGACUAAGCGUACACGGUGGAUGCCCUGGCAGUCAGAGGCGAUGAAGGGCGUGCUAAUCUGCGAUAAGCGCCGGUAAGGUGAUAUGAACCGUUAUAACCGGCGAUACCCGAAUGGGGAAACCCAGUGUGACUCGUCACACUAUCAUUAACUGAAUCCAUAGGUUAAUGAGGCGAACCGGGGGAACUGAAACAUCUAAGUACCCCGAGGAAAAGAAAUCAACCGAGAUUCCCCCAGUAGCGGCGAGCGAACGGGGAGGAGCCCAGAGCCUGAAUCAGCAUGUGUGUUAGUGGAAGCGUCUGGAAAGGCGCGCGAUACAGGGUGACAGCCCCGUACACAAAAGCGCAUGUGCUGUGAGCUCGAUGAGUAGGGCGGGACACGUGGUAUCCUGUCUGAAUAUGGGGGGACCAUCCUCCAAGGCUAAAUACUCCUGACUGACCGAUAGUGAACCAGUACCGUGAGGGAAAGGCGAAAAGAACCCCGGCGAGGGGAGUGAAAAAGAACCUGAAACCGUGUACGUACAAGCAGUGGGAGCCCCACCACCAAAGCAUUUGCUGUACCGCGUUGACGGAGCGAAGCGACGUCAAACCGAUAAAACAGCAGUGUAAAGUGAGCCGCAGGGCGCUUUGCGCGACAGCGCAAAGGCAGGCGGUUUCGCGUAGCGAAAGCGAAUGCUUUGGGGUGGGGUGACUGCGUACCUUUUGUAUAAUGGGUCAGCGACUUAUAUUCUGUAGCAAGGUUAACCGUAUAGGGGAGCCGGAGGGAAACCGAGUCUUAAUUGGGCGUUAAGUUGCAGGGUAUAGACCCGAAACCCGGUGAUCUAGCCAUGGGCAGGUUGAAGGUUGGGUAACACUAACUGGAGGACCGAACCGACUAAUGUUGAAAAAUUAGCGGAUGACCUGUGGCUGGGGGUGAAAGGCCAAUCAAACCGGGAGAUAGCUGGUUCUCCCCGAAAGCUAUUUAGGUAGCGCCUCGUGAAUUCAUCUCCGGGGGUAGAGCACUGUUUCGGCUAGGGGGCCAUCCCGGCUUACCAACCCGAUGCAAACUGCGAAUACCGGAGAAUGUUAUCACGGGAGACACACGGCGGGUGCUAACGUCCGUCGUGAAGAGGGAAACAACCCAGACCGCCAGCUAAGGUCCCAAAGUCAUGGUUAAGUGGGAAACGAUGUGGGAAGGCCCAGACAGCCAGGAUGUUGGCUUAGAAGCAGCCAUCAUUUAAAGAAAGCGUAAUAGCUCACUGGUCGAGUCGGCCUGCGCGGAAGAUGUAACGGGGCUAAACCAUGCACCGAAGCUGCGGCAGCGAACGUAUCACUUAAAGCGAUUCAGCGCGUUACGAUUGACGGAGCGAAGCGACGUCAAAGCGUAUACAAAGUCGAGUCGGUUUAAGGAUACGUUUGUUGGGUAGGGGAGCGUUCUGUAAGCCUGCGAAGGUGGCCUGUGAGGGUUGCUGGAGGUAUCAGAAGUGCGAAUGCUGACAUAAGUAACGAUAAAGCGGGUGAAAAGCCCGCUCGCCGGAAGACCAAGGGUUCCUGUCCAACGUUAAUCGGGGCAGGGUGAGUCGACCCCUAAGGCGAGGCCGAAAGGCGUAGUCGAUGGGAAACAGGUUAAUAUUCCUGUACUUGGUGUUACUGCGAAGGGGGGACGGAGAAGGCUAUGUUGGCCGGGCGACGGUUGUCCCGGUUUAAGCGUGUAGGUGUGUGUUCCAGGUAAAUCCGGUUCACUUUAACACUGAGGCGUGACGACGAGGCACUACGGUGCUGAAGCAACAAAUGCCCUGCUUCCAGGAAAAGCCUCUAAGCAUCAGGUAACAUCAAAUCGUACCCCAAACCGACACAGGUGGUCAGGUAGAGAAUACCAAGGCGCUUGAGAGAACUCGGGUGAAGGAACUAGGCAAAAUGGUGCCGUAACUUCGGGAGAAGGCACGCUGACAUGUAGGUGAAGUGAUUUACUCAUGGAGCUGAAGUCAGUCGAAGAUACCAGCUGGCUGCAACUGUUUAUUAAAAACACAGCACUGUGCAAACACGAAAGUGGACGUAUACGGUGUGACGCCUGCCCGGUGCCGGAAGGUUAAUUGAUGGGGUCAGCGCAAGCGAAGCUCCUGAUCGAAGCCCCGGUAAACGGCGGCCGUAACUAUAACGGUCCUAAGGUAGCGAAAUUCCUUGUCGGGUAAGUUCCGACCUGCACGAAUGGCGUAAUGAUGGCCAGGCUGUCUCCACCCGAGACUCAGUGAAAUUGAACUCGCUGUGAAGAUGCAGUGUACCCGCGGCAAGACGGAAAGACCCCGUGAACCUUUACUAUAGCUUGACACUGAACAUUGAGCCUUGAUGUGUAGGAUAGGUGGGAGGCUUUGAAGCGUGGACGCCAGUCUGCGUGGAGCCGACCUUGAAAUACCACCCUUUAAUGUUUGAUGUUCUAACGUGGACCCGU